UGCCGUGUACGUACACAUUACUGC
This 24-nucleotide non-coding RNA is filed under the name Arabidopsis thaliana (thale cress). The record is from RNAcentral. Lineage: Eukaryota; Viridiplantae; Streptophyta; Magnoliopsida; Brassicales; Brassicaceae.